RNAcentral lists this small nucleolar RNA (92 nucleotides) under Ceratocystis platani. RNAcentral describes it as "Small nucleolar RNA snR73". It matches the Rfam family "Small nucleolar RNA snR73". Lineage: Eukaryota; Fungi; Ascomycota; Sordariomycetes; Microascales; Ceratocystidaceae. The record is from Rfam by way of RNAcentral.
GUUUACAUGAUGACUUUAAAAUUUUCACGACGGUCAACUUAGCCAUAAGCAAUGCCGAUAUUUGCCUGUCACAGGGCAACUACGCACUGAUA